RNAcentral lists this ribosomal RNA (495 nucleotides) under uncultured bacterium. RNAcentral's name for it is "partial 16S ribosomal RNA". It matches the Rfam family "Bacterial small subunit ribosomal RNA", at positions 28 to 507 of the family's 1533-position model. The record is from RNAcentral.
GACGAACGCUGGCGGCGUGCCUAAUACAUGCAAGUAGAACGCUGAAGGAGGAGCUUGCUCUUCUGGAUGAGUUGCGAACGGGUGAGUAACGCGUAGGUAACCUGCCUGGUAGCGGGGGAUAACUAUUGGAAACGAUAGCUAAUACCGCAUAACAGUAGAUGUUGCAUGACAUUUACUUAAAAGGUGCAAUUGCAUCACUACCAGAUGGACCUGCGUUGUAUUAGCUAGUUGGUGGGGUAACGGCUCACCAAGGCGACGAUACAUAGCCGACCUGAGAGGGUGAUCGGCCACACUGGGACUGAGACACGGCCCAGAAUCCUACGGGAGGCAGCAGUAGGGAAUCUUCGGGAAUGGACGGAAGUCUGAACGAGCAACGCCGCGUGAGUGAAGAAGGGUGUCGGAUCGUAAAGCUCUGUUGUAAGAGAAGAACGAGUGUGAGAGUGGAAAGUUCACACUGUGACGGUAUCUUAACAGAAAGGGACGGCUAACUACGUG